Long non-coding RNA from Onychomys torridus (southern grasshopper mouse), 732 nucleotides. RefSeq lists it as uncharacterized. The record is from RefSeq and is a predicted model, not a curated record. The transcript has 3 exons. Lineage: Eukaryota; Metazoa; Chordata; Mammalia; Rodentia; Cricetidae.
UUUCUGGCCAGCCCCGCCCCGCUCCCUGGCGCUUGUCUCGGCGCAGAGUGCAGGAGCUCGGUCUUUCUGUCCCCGGCUCGGUGCCCGACUUUCCGGAGCCGAUCCCCAGGGCUCAGUCGUGCGGCCGCCUCCGACCCAGACGCAGGUUGAAAACUACAAGAAAGAAACCAGUGAGCAGAAUGCCUUGAAGCCGGAUCCAAGUGGGUAAUGCCUCCAAGGUGAAGUAGUCUGGCCCGCGUCCCGCCUUGGUAUUAGGGCGUGGUAGCAGAUUCAUCAGCAUUUUGUUGCUGAGAUAGGUGCGGAAGUCCCUACAGAUAAAGAAUGAGGUCCCGGUGAGAGGAUCCCUAAAUGGUCUUGUAGUAAUUGAUUGCACUGAAGGUAGUCUCCCCCAAAUUAUCAGUAUGACAGGUGAGGUUUUUUUGUUUGUUUGUUUUUGUUUUUUUGGUGGAGGAGGUUCGAGCUGGGGAUUCUCUAUGCCUGGCUGCCCUAGAACUCAGAGAUUGGCCCACUUCUGCCACUACAUCUGGCUAUGACAGGUUAGGGACUUUUAAGGUGCGAGCAAAAGGGAGGUUGAAAAGACACUCAUUUGCUAGAUCAUUAGAAUAUGUUGGUAUAGCAUGCUGGGACAAGUUCUUUGCUAGGGCCUAGUCAUGAGCCAGCAGUCAAGAUGUUAUUAACCUGUAUAUUGCUGCAUAUCACUCAUUUUCCAGAAUCUUAAAUAAAAGCUUUUCC